RNAcentral lists this ribosomal RNA (630 nucleotides) under Chrysomphalina chrysophylla. RNAcentral's name for it is "partial small subunit ribosomal RNA". It matches the Rfam family "Bacterial small subunit ribosomal RNA", at positions 359 to 943 of the family's 1533-position model. The record is from RNAcentral. Lineage: Eukaryota; Fungi; Basidiomycota; Agaricomycetes; Agaricales; Hygrophoraceae.
AACUARCUAACUGAMMUCAAUUUUGAUCUACAAUAUAUYGUYUAAAUAAUAUAACCAUUAUUUAAAUUUUCAUCUAGUGAUGGAMAAUGAYMAGGUACMGGGAAAAAAAUGAUGUCACUUUUACUAGAAUAAAAKUGUUGUCCAAGGUACUGGUGCCACAARACUCGGUAAGGCCAGAAACGCAAACGUUAGUCGCAUUAACCAGGCGUAAAGGGUUGGUAGGCAGCUUASAAAAUUUAUUUUUUAAUAUAAGCUCUUAAUUAAAUUGAAUUGAAUAUAUGAGUUUGAUUUAAUUAUAGUAACAAAUAAAUUGUAUAUAAGAUAGAAUCAUAUAGAGGUUAAGCCGAAUCAUGCUAGGUGUAGGGCCAAAAUCCGUAUAUAUCAAGUGGAGAUACUCAGUGGUGAAAGCUUUUUAUCUAUUAAUGAUCGACGCUCAGAAACGAAGGUGGGAUUAGGAAAUAGGAUUAGAGACCCAGAUACCCCCACUGUCAACGAUGAAUGGUGGAUGUUAGUUUUAAUAAAAACUAGUACCUAUGUUAACGCGAUUACCAUUCCGCCUUGAGAGUACGGUCGCAAGACUGAAACCAAAAAAAUUAGUCGGUGCUCGGAGCAAACGAAGCGAAGCAGGUA